RNAcentral lists this ribosomal RNA (227 nucleotides) under uncultured bacterium. RNAcentral describes it as "partial 16S ribosomal RNA". It matches the Rfam family "Bacterial small subunit ribosomal RNA", at positions 524 to 749 of the family's 1533-position model. The record is from RNAcentral.
UACGUAGGGUGCGAGCGUUAAUCGGAAUUACUGGGCGUAAAGCGUGCGCAGGCGGUUUUGUAAGCCAGAUGUGAAAUCCCCGGGCCUUAACCUGGGAAUGGCAUGGGACUGCAGGGCUCGAGUGCAGCAGAGGAGACUGGAAUUCCUGGUGUAGCAGUGAAAUGCGUAGAUAUCAGGAGGAACACCGAAUGGCGAAGGCAGGUCUCUGGGCUGACAACUGACGCUCU